RNAcentral lists this transfer RNA (68 nucleotides) under Microcaecilia unicolor. RNAcentral describes it as "tRNA-Tyr". It matches the Rfam family "tRNA". From Rfam's summary of the family: Transfer RNA (tRNA) molecules are approximately 80 nucleotides in length. Their secondary structure includes four short double-helical elements and three loops (D, anti-codon, and T loops). The record is from RNAcentral. Lineage: Eukaryota; Metazoa; Chordata; Amphibia; Gymnophiona; Siphonopidae.
GGUAAUAUGGCUGAGAAUAGGCGGCGGAUUGUAAUCCCGACCACAAAGGUUUAAUUCCUUUUUUUACC